This 428-nucleotide ribosomal RNA is filed under the name Actinomycetes bacterium. RNAcentral describes it as "Actinobacteria bacterium partial 16S ribosomal RNA". It matches the Rfam family "Bacterial small subunit ribosomal RNA", at positions 355 to 776 of the family's 1533-position model. Lineage: Bacteria; Bacillati; Actinomycetota; Actinomycetes. The record is from RNAcentral.
UAGGGAAUCUUCCGCAAUGGGCGAAAGCUUGACGGAGCAACGCCGCGUGAGUGAUGAAGGUCUUCGGAUCGUAAAACUCUGUUAUUAGGGAAGAACAAAUGUGUAAGUAACUAUGCACGUCUUGACGGUACCUAAUCAGAAAGCCACGGCUAACUACGUGCCAGCAGCCGCGGUAAUACGUAGGUGGCAAGCGUUAUCCGGAAUUAUUGGGCGUAAAGCGCGCGUAGGCGGUUUUUAAGUCUGAUGUGAAAGCCCACGGCUCAACCGUGGAGGGUCAUUGGAAACUGGAAAACUUGAGUGCAGAAGAGGAAAGUGGAAUUCCAUGUGUAGCGGUGAAAUGCGCAGAGAUAUGGAGGAACACCAGUGGCGAAGGCGACUUUCUGGUCUGUAACUGACGCUGAUGUGCGAAAGCGUGGGGAUCAAACAGG